UGCUGCAUGGCUGUCAUCAGCUCGUGUCGUGAGAUGUUUGGUCAAGUCCUAUAAAGAGCGAAACCCUCGUUUUGUGUUGCUGAGACAUGCGCAUAAGGAGAAAGUCUUUGCAACUGAAGUGAGCAGAGGAGCCGAGUGACGAGCCAGCGCUAC
Molecule: non-coding RNA, 153 nt
Organism: Gossypium arboreum
Lineage: Eukaryota; Viridiplantae; Streptophyta; Magnoliopsida; Malvales; Malvaceae
Source: Rfam